RNAcentral lists this ribosomal RNA (1960 nucleotides) under marine metagenome. RNAcentral describes it as "bacterial LSU rRNA". It matches the Rfam family "Bacterial large subunit ribosomal RNA", at positions 1 to 1978 of the family's 2925-position model. The record is from RNAcentral.
AUAGGCUAAUUAAGGGCGUAUGGGGAAUGCCUAGGCUCUCAGAGGCGAUGAAGGACGUGAUAAGCUGCGAAAAGCUACGGGGAGUGGCACAUACACUGUGAUCCGUAGAUAUCCGAAUGGGGCAACCUGUUAUGUUGAAGACAUAUCACCUCGUAAGAGGAGCAAACCCGGGGAACUGAAACAUCUAAGUACCCGGAGGAGAAGAAAACAAAAGUGAUUCCGCUAGUAGCGGCGAGCGAACGCGGAACAGCCCAAACCAAAGUUGUUACGGCAAUUUUGGGGUAAUAGGACCACAACAUUUGAUGCAUUAUGAACUAGAAUCUACUGGAAAGUAGAACCAUAGAGGGUGAUAGUCCUGUAUAGGUACAAUGAUGUUAUUGAUAGUGGUAUCCUGAGUAGUGCGGGGCACGUGAAACCUUGCAUGAAUUCGCCGGGACCAUCCGGUAAGGCUAAAUACUCCUGAGAGACCGAUAGUGAACCAGUACCGUGAGGGAAAGGUGAAAAGAACCGUGAAUAACGGAGUGAAAUAGAUCCUGAAACCAUACGCUUACAAGCGGUCGGAGCGGCGUAAGCUGUGACGGCGUGCCUUUUGCAUAAUGAGCCUACGAGUUACCGUUGCUAGCAAGGCUAAUCGAUUCAGUCGAGGAUCCGUAGCGAAAGCGAGUCUGAAUAGGGCGAUGCAGUUAGUAGUGGUAGACGCGAAACCGAGUGAUCUACCCAUGGGCAGGUUGAAGCUGUAGUAACAUACAGUGGAGGACCGAACCCGUUGACGUUGAAAAGUCUUGGGAUGACUUGUGGGUAGGGGUGAAAGGCCAAUCAAACUCGGAAAUAGCUCGUACUCCCCGAAAUGCAUUUAGGUGCAGCGUUGAAAAAGUUUUAUAGAGGUAGAGCUACUGAUUGGAUGCGGGGGCUUCACCGCCUACCAAUUCCUGACAAACUCCGAAUGCUAUAAAAUGAUUUUCAGCAGUGAGGGCAUGGGUGCUAAGGUCCAUGUCCGAGAGGGAAAGAACCCAGACCAUCAGCUAAGGUCCCCAAGUGUAUAUUAAGUUGAAUAAACGAGGUUUGACUGCCCAGACAGCUAGGAUGUUGGCUUGGAAGCAGCCAUUCAUUUAAAGAGUGCGUAACAGCUCACUAGUCGAGCGGUCGAGCAUGGAUAAUAAUCGGGCAUAAACAUAUUACCGAAGCUAUGGAUUAACGUUGAAAGACACGUUAGUGGUAGGGGAGCAUUGUAACCUGCGUAGAAGGUGUGCUGUGAGGCAUGCUGGAGUGGUUACAAAAGAAAAUGUAGGCAUAAGUAACGAUAAUGGGGGCGAGAAACCCCCACACCGAAAGACUAAGGUUUCCUCAGCGAUGCUAAUCAGCUGAGGGUUAGUCGGGUCCUAAGGCGAAUCCGAAGGGAGUAGUCGAUGGAUAACAGGUUAAUAUUCCUGUACUUCUUAUAAUUGCGAUGGGGUGACGGAGUAUUGAAAGCACCGCGAACUGACGGAAUAGUUCGUUGAAGACUGUAUCUAUAAGAUCUGUAGGCAAAUCCGCAGAUUUUGGAGAAGGUUGAUAGUACUACAAAGCUUCGGCUGCGUAGAUAGUGUGCCUAAAAGCUUCCAAGAAAAACCUCUAAGCUUCAGAUUAUAAGAACCCGUACCGUAAACCGACACAGGUAGUUGGGAUGAGAAUUCUAAGGUGCUCGAGAGAUUCAUGGCUAAGGAACUAGGCAAAAUAGACCCGUAACUUCGGGAGAAGGGUCGCCCAUCUUCGGAUGGGCCGCAGUGAAAAGGUCCAGGCGACUGUUUAUCAAAAACACAGGGCUUUGCUAAAUUGAAAGAUGAUGUAUAAGGCCUGACACCUGCCCGGUGCUGGAAGGUUAAGUGGAGUUGUUAGCUUCGGCGAAGCAGUGAAAUGAAGCCCCAGUAAACGGCGGCCGUAACUAUAACGGUCCUAAGGUAGCGAAAUUCCUUGUCGGGUA